This 557-nucleotide ribosomal RNA is filed under the name uncultured bacterium. RNAcentral's name for it is "partial 16S ribosomal RNA". It matches the Rfam family "Bacterial small subunit ribosomal RNA", at positions 355 to 905 of the family's 1533-position model. The record is from RNAcentral.
UGGGGAAUUUUGGACAAUGGGCGCAAGCCUGAUCCAGCCAUUCCGCGUGCAGGAUGAAGGCCCUCGGGUUGUAAACUGCUUUUGNACGGACGAAAAGGCUUUCUCUAAUACAGAGAGCUCAUGACGGUACCGUAAGAAUAAGCACCGGCUAACUACGUGCCAGCAGCCGCGGUAAUACGUAGGGUGCAAGCGUUAAUCGGAAUUACUGGGCGUAAAGCGUGCGCAGGCGGUGAUGUAAGACAGAUGUGAAAUCCCCGGGCUCAACCUGGGAACUGCAUUUGUGACUGCAUCGCUGGAGUGCGGCAGAGGGGGGAUGGAAUUCCGCGUGUAGCAGUGAAAUGCGUAGAUAUGCGGAGGAACACCGAUGGCGAAGGCAAUCCCCUGGGCCUGCACUGACGCUCAUGCACGAAAGCGUGGGGAGCAAACAGGAUUAGAUACCCUGGUAGUCCACGCCCUAAACGAUGUCAACUGGUUGUUGGGUCUUCACUGACUCAGUAACGAAGCUAACGCGUGAAGUUGACCGCCUGGGGAGUACGGCCGCAAGGUUGAAACUCAAA